GAGGAAAGAGCUUCCAGGUGGCCCCAAAG
RNAcentral lists this non-coding RNA (29 nucleotides) under Mus musculus (house mouse). The record is from RNAcentral. Lineage: Eukaryota; Metazoa; Chordata; Mammalia; Rodentia; Muridae.